CACGCGGUGAACAAAAUUUUCUUUUAUUGCAAUGUUUAACGGCUCAAAGGCAAAGUCAGCAAUUAGGCCUUGUGCAAGCCUUUUUUUACGCCGGAUAUUCAAUAACUUAAAUAUGCCAUACUUCAUUCUUAGAUGUGCAACAAAAGAUGCUUAUAGUAUGCAUUAUCGUGUCCCCAUAUACAAAUCUAUGCACAAGUGGGGGAUCAGUUCAGUUAAGACAAAAAGAUUGCAUCUACAAAAAUGUAUCUCUAAUUAUGCGUGCUGCUACACGAGAUGAAAGCCGUGUUAACACCUCUGGAAGCACUCUGGCUGAGAUGCCUGGUAAAAUGGGAAGCAGCUCUUGUAUGAUCCGAGCAACAUUCACAUCCUGACCCGAUGUCCUUGAUAUUGAACUUCCUGCUGUCAAGAACUCAACAAUUUUCUGAACGUUAUUCAAGAUAAUUUUAUCCUCUUCAGUUAUCGUCGGCAGAAGUCCUGCAGGCUUAAAGGGUCCAGGUACCAUGCUGAAAACUGGGGCAGCAUUUCCCACUCCAAGGACUGCCAGUAUUUGUACGAGCUGUUCCCUUGUAACAGCAUCAAUACCUUUUACAAUCUCAUCCAGAAGAAAUUCUCGAAAAAAGUUCCCCUUCUCAGAGAGCAAAAAUGCUAAGGCCGCCCUUGUUUGAAUUGGCUGCGUUGGUUGAGACGAAAUUAAUGCAAAUCCAGGAUAAUUAUAACCUGUUUGACUUUGCAGAAUGCCAAGUUCAGCCAUAUUCCCAUUCAAAUUUUCUCCACCUCCACUUUUCGCAGCAGUGAUAAAAUUCUCAAAGGCUUGCAUGACAUCGAUGAAUCUUUCAGCAUCAAAAACACCAGACUUCCCAUAAAUUGUAUAGCGUAAAGCAUUCCUUAGGCGAGGGGAUUCAUCAGUGAGAAGCCUCUGUGCAAUAUAGGGAUAGGCCUCAUCUACAAUAGCAAAAUCAGGAUUUCCCACUAAAGCUAUACCUUCCAGCACACCUAUUGCCCUAAUUAUGAGUGCAAAAUAAGGUGGUAUUCUGAAUGGAUAAUCAAAUGUUAUCUCUGCCAGAUCUGAUGCUAGCUCCUGAAAGUUAAUAUUUUUUGCUCCUCCACCCUCAAGUGCUUGAUCAAAAACCUUAGCCAGGACUGGUAAGAUUGGUUCCAAAUUAACUCCCUCAGGAAUGAAAUCAAGUUUAACAAAAUCUUUUACAAUAGCAGCAUAAUCCCGAUGAAUGAGGUGGGCAAUAGCUUCAAUCAUUCCAUAUUUCUGAUCAUCUGUUAAUUUUGUGACUAGACCAAAGUCAAGAAUGGCAAGCUUCCCAUCUAGAGUACGGAUCAAAUUCCCAGGGUGAGGAUCGGCAUGGAAAAAUCCAGUAUCAAGCAACUGCUUCAAGUAGCAUAUAACUCCAACAUUGACCAAUUCUCCAACGUCACUUUCUGUACUUUGUGAGAGCUUUUCUCCCUCAAUCCAUUGUGUAGUAAGAACCUUUCUUGAAGUAUACUUUUCAUAAGUCUUUGGCACAACAACCUGUGGAAGGUCCUUCCUCAUCAUUUCUGCAAAUACAGUCCCAUUUUCACCUUCAUUAACAUAAUCUAGUUCCUCAAAAAAACGAGCAGCCCAUUCAUCAACCAACCCAACAACAUCUAUUGAUAUCUGAGGAAACUUUCGAAGAACCAAACCCAAAUUUCGUAUAAUGUACAGAUCUAUUGUUACGGUUUCAAGAACAAAAGGCCUCUGUACUUUGACAGCCACCAGAUCCCCAUUCUCUUUUAGCCUACCCUUAUAUACCUGCCCUAGAGAUGCUGCAGCAAUUGGAGAAGAAGAAAGCUCAGAAUAGAUGUUAUGCCAUGGCUGACCAAGCUCCUGCUCAAUAAGAGCCAUUGCUACAUCAUCUGGAAAUGAGGGAACCUUAUCACAAAGCUUUUGUAGCUCAGUCAUUGCUACAGGUGACAGUAUAUCUGGACGAAUACUCAAUGCUUGACCAAGUUUUAUAUAUGCUGGACCCAAAGAGGUUACAAUUUCCCUUAAUUCAAUGGCCCUAGCAACUUCAUUCUCUUUGACCUUCUUGUUUAUAACAUCCCAAGCAAGGCGAGAGAGAAAACCCCCAGCAACAGAGAGUAAUUGGAAAGCUCUUGUAGCAACAGCGCGCGGCCGUUUUCCCCAAUAGGCGGAAAUACUAGCAGGAUCAUAUGCCAAAGGUAAAAACUCACUGCUCUCGUCUAGCUCAACUAGGCGAAGCUUAAUAUUAUCAUCGGCAAACUGAGCAUCUCUCAAAUUUUGGCCUCGAAGUCCUCUCAUUAGUAUCGCCAACUGCUCGUUUUCCUCCAUUUGCGCCCUCACUCUUUUGAUCUCCUGUG
Molecule: unclassified non-coding RNA, 2352 nt
Filed under: Hevea brasiliensis (rubber tree)
Lineage: Eukaryota; Viridiplantae; Streptophyta; Magnoliopsida; Malpighiales; Euphorbiaceae
Source: RNAcentral